RNAcentral lists this ribosomal RNA (437 nucleotides) under uncultured bacterium. RNAcentral's name for it is "partial 16S ribosomal RNA". It matches the Rfam family "Bacterial small subunit ribosomal RNA", at positions 29 to 507 of the family's 1533-position model. The record is from RNAcentral.
AGCGAACGCUGGCGGCAGGCUUAACACAUGCAAGUCGAGCGGGCAUCCUUGUGGUUUCAGCGGCAGACGGGUGAGUAACGCGUGGGAACGUGCCCUUCGGUUCGUAAUAACUCAGGGAAACUUGAUCUAAUACCGGAUACGUGCGAGAGCAGAAAGGUUUAUCUGCCGAAGGAUCGGCCCGCGUCUGAUUAGCUAGUUGGUGAGGUUAUGGCUCACCAAGGCGACGAUCAGUAGCUGGUCUGAGAGGAUGAUCAGCCACACUUGGACUGAGACACGGCCCAGACUCCUACGGGAGGCAGCAGUGGGGAAUAUUGGAAAAUGGGGGCAACCAUGAUGCAGCCAUGCCGGGUGAGUGAUGACGGCCUUAGGGUUGUAAAGCUCUUUUCUUCGGGACGAUAAUGACGGUACCGGAGGAAUAAGCCACGGCUAACUUCGUG